CCUACGGGGGGCUGCAGUGGGGAAUAUUGCGCAAUGGGCGAAAGCCUGACGCAGCGACGCCGCGUGGAGGAUGAAGGUCUUCGGAUUGUAAACUUCUGUUGGAUGGAAAGAAAAGUUUGUUUCUAAUAAAGACAAAAAAUGACGGUACCAUCAAAGAAAGCACUGGCUAACCUCGUGCCAGCAGCCGCGGUAAUACGAGGGGUGCAAGCGUUGUUCGGAAUCAUUGGGCGUAAAGGGUGCGUAGACGGUUUGUUAAGUCUGUUGUUUAAUCUCCU
This 275-nucleotide ribosomal RNA is filed under the name uncultured bacterium. RNAcentral's name for it is "partial 16S ribosomal RNA". It matches the Rfam family "Bacterial small subunit ribosomal RNA", at positions 338 to 605 of the family's 1533-position model. The record is from RNAcentral.